Molecule: ribosomal RNA, 253 nt
Filed under: uncultured bacterium
Lineage: Bacteria
Description: partial 16S ribosomal RNA
Rfam family: Bacterial small subunit ribosomal RNA
Source: RNAcentral
UACGGAGGGUGCAAGCGUUAUCCGGAUUCACUGGGCUUAAAGGGUGCGUAGGCGGGUUGGUAAGUCAGUGGUGAAAUCCCCGAGCUUAACUUGGGAACUGCCAUUGAUACUAUCAGUCUUGAAUACCGUGGAGGUCGGCGGAAUAUGUCAUGUAGCGGUGAAAUGCUCAGAUAUGACAUAGAACACCAAUUGCGAAGGCAGCUGACUACGCGAGUAUUGACACUGAGGCACGAAAGCGUGGGGAUCAAACAGG